RNAcentral lists this ribosomal RNA (576 nucleotides) under uncultured marine crenarchaeote. RNAcentral's name for it is "bacterial SSU rRNA". It matches the Rfam family "Archaeal small subunit ribosomal RNA", at positions 1 to 581 of the family's 1478-position model. Lineage: Archaea; Thermoproteati; Thermoproteota. The record is from RNAcentral.
UUCCGGUUGAUCCUGCCGGACCUGACUGCUAUCGGAUUGAUACUAAGCCAUGCGAGUCAUUGUAGCAAUACAAGGCAUACGGCUCAGUAACGCGUAGUCAACCUAACCUAUGGACGGGAAUAACCUCGGGAAACUGAGAAUAAUGCCCGAUAGAACAUUAUGCCUGGAAUGGUUUAUGUUCCAAAUGAUUUAUCGCCGUAGGAUGGGACUGCGGCCUAUCAGUUUGUUGGUGAGGUAAUGGCCCACCAAGACUAUUACAGGUACGGGCUCUGAGAGGAGUAGCCCGGAGAUGGGUACUGAGACACGGACCCAGGCCCUAUGGGGCGCAGCAGGCGAGAAAACUUUGCAAUGUGCGAAAGCACGACAAGGUUAAUCCGAGUGGUUUCUGCUAAAGAAACCCUUUGUCAGUCCUAGAAACACUGAUGAAUAAGGGGUGGGCAAGUUCUGGUGUCAGCCCGCCGCGGUAAAACCAGCACCUCAAGUGGUCAGGAUGAUUAUUGGGCCUAAAGCAUCCGUAGCCCGGCUCUGUAAGUUUUCGGUUAAAUCUGUACGCUCAACGUACAGGCUUGCCGGGAA